GUUAGGAAUAUUGGACAAUGGGCGCAAGCCUGAUCCAGCCAUGCCGCGUGAGUGAUGAAGGCCUUCGGGUUGUAAAGCUCUUUAGUCCACGAAUAUAAUGACUGUAGUGGAAGAAUAAGCCCCGGCUAACUUCGUGCCAGCAGCCGCGGUAAUACGAAGGGGGCGAGCGUUAUUCGGAAUCACUGGGCGUAAAGCGUGCGUAGGCUGUUUUGUAAGUCAGAAGUGAAAGCCCAGGGCUUAACCCUGGAAUUGCUUUUGAAACUACAAGACUCGAAUUCGGGAGAGGAUAGCGGAAUUGUCAGUGUAGCAGUGAAAUGCGUAGAUAUUGGAAGGAACACCAGUGGCGUAAGCGGCUAUCUGGACGAGUAUUGACGCUGAGGCACGAAAGCGUGGGGAUCAAACAGGAUUAGAUACCCUGGUAGUCC
RNAcentral lists this ribosomal RNA (425 nucleotides) under uncultured bacterium. RNAcentral's name for it is "partial 16S ribosomal RNA". It matches the Rfam family "Bacterial small subunit ribosomal RNA", at positions 354 to 796 of the family's 1533-position model. The record is from RNAcentral.